AGUGAACGCUGGCGGUAGGCCUAACACAUGCAAGUCGAACGGCAGCACAGGAAAGCUUGCCCUCUAGGUGGCGAGUGGCGGACGGGUGAGGAAUACAUCUGAAUCUGCCCAUUCGCGGGGGGUAACGCAGGGAAACUUAUGCUAUUAUAGCAUACGCCCUCCGGGGGAAAGAGGAGGAGCGCAAGACCUCUCGCGAUUGGAUGUGCCGAUGUCGGAUUAGCUAGUUGGCGGGGUAAUGGCCCACCAAGGCGACGAUCCGUAGCUGGUCUGAGAGGAUGAUCAGCCACACUGGAACUGAGACACGGUCCAGACUCCUACGGGAGGCAGCAGUGGGGAAUAUUGGACAAUGGGCGCAAGCCUGAUCCAGCCAUACCGCGUGGGUGAAGAAGGCCUUCGGGUUGUAAAGCCCUUUUGUUGGGAAAGAAAUCUUUCAGGCUAAUACCCUGGGAGGAUGACGGUACCCAAAGAAUAAGCACCGGCUAACUUCGUG
This 490-nucleotide ribosomal RNA is filed under the name uncultured bacterium. RNAcentral describes it as "partial 16S ribosomal RNA". It matches the Rfam family "Bacterial small subunit ribosomal RNA", at positions 29 to 507 of the family's 1533-position model. The record is from RNAcentral.